GCCAGGUGUGGUGGCGCACACCUGUAAUCCCAGCUACUUGGGAGGCUGAGGCAGGAGAAUCACUUGAACCUGGGAGGUGGAGGCUGCAGUGAACCAAGAUCGUGCCACUGCACUCCAGCCUGGGUGACAGAGUGAUAUUUCAUCUCAA
This is a non-coding RNA of Homo sapiens (human), 148 nucleotides long. It matches the Rfam family "Metazoan signal recognition particle RNA". From Rfam's summary of the family: The signal recognition particle (SRP) is a universally conserved ribonucleoprotein. NCBI's taxonomy places the organism in Eukaryota, Metazoa, Chordata, Mammalia, Primates, Hominidae. The record is from Rfam.